AAAGUCGUAACAAAGGUUUCCGUAGGUGAACCUGCGGAAGGAUCAUUACCUAGAGUUUGUAGACUUCGGUCUGCUACCUCUUACCCAUGUCUUUUGAGUACCUUCGUUUCCGUCGGCGGGUCCGCCCCUGCCGAUUUGGACAACAUUCAAAACCCAUUUUGCAGUUGCAAUCAGCGUCCGAAAAAACAUAAUAGUUACAA
Molecule: unclassified non-coding RNA, 200 nt
Filed under: plant metagenome
Description: partial contains small subunit ribosomal RNA and internal transcribed spacer 1
Rfam family: Eukaryotic small subunit ribosomal RNA (bases 1-48)
Source: RNAcentral